Molecule: ribosomal RNA, 254 nt
Filed under: uncultured prokaryote
Description: partial 16S ribosomal RNA
Rfam family: Bacterial small subunit ribosomal RNA
Source: RNAcentral
UACGGGGGGAGCAAGCGUUGUUCGGAUUUACUGGGCGUAAAGGGCGCGUAGGCGGCCACCGCAAGUCACUUGUGAAAUCUCCGGGCUUAACUCGGAACGGUCAAGUGAUACUGUCGGGCUAGAGUACAGAAGGGGCAACUGGAAUUCUCGGUGUAGCGGUGAAAUGCGUAGAUAUCGAGAGGAACACCUGCGGCGAAGGCGGGUUGCUGGGCUGAUACUGACGCUGAAGUGCGAAAGCAAGGGGAUCAAACAGG